GUGUUUUUCAUGCAAGGAAGAUGUGAGGGACCUGACACAAGGCCACCAGCCCUACUUCACAGCUGUAUACCAACACCUCUGUUUAAACCUGGAAUGGCUAGGAGACCGUGAAUCCAGAAAAAAUAACAGGAAGAACAUGGGAAAUGAGCACACAUUGUGGAUUCCCUUCAUACCCCUCAAGCCUGGAGGAACUAGAUUGAGCAGCCAGCCAUCCAGCCUCAGCCACAGUAUCUUGGAGUCCAAGACUGAGAUGCUGAAGCCUACUGCCAGGGGCUCUAUGUACCAGGAAAUAUCAUACCACAGAGGAGUGGGCACUGGAGGCCCAGGGACUGCUCCACAGAGGCCGGAAAAAAAUAAAACUGUCUGUGGCCAAUGUACACUUCCAAGUCUCAAGGUGAUGGCAGUAAUGAUUAAUCCAUCUGCUAAAGCAGCAGGAAUUGAUAUUGUGCAACUGGCCUUGUCACCCAACCCUAUUUCCUCCAAAUGCCUCUAAUUAAAUCCUGUCCCAU
RNAcentral lists this long non-coding RNA (509 nucleotides) under Chinchilla lanigera (long-tailed chinchilla). Its description in RNAcentral is "lncRNA (ENSCLAG00000025590.1)". Lineage: Eukaryota; Metazoa; Chordata; Mammalia; Rodentia; Chinchillidae. The record is from RNAcentral.